GCUAGCCGACGAGCUAGCGCUAUACAUAAAGAGCACCGCCGGUGGCGCCCGAGUGGUAGCUAGUAGCGGGGUGAGGUUGCCGCGCGCGCCGGCAGUGAAUUACGGGGCAGUUCUUCUUUGGCACAAAGCUAGCUAAGCACGCGGUUCAGAUAACUUGCGCAUGCGUACGUGCCAAAGGAGAAUUGCCCUGCGAUUCGCCUGCGCAGGAUCCGUUUUGAUGUUGUGUUCCUUGACUGCUACUGGCUACAAGCCUGAGACAGAGAGAGAUCUCAUCUGAGUGGAAGUUGAAGAACAUGCAUGUGGAGAAUCGCCCCGAGAUUCAGCUUCAAUUCAGAUGCGUUCCCCAACUCCUGAUGUCAAAGUUGGGAGUUUUGGAGCAACUAAACAUAGCCUAGGCUAGGCUCGCCGAUGGCAAUGGAAACACGGCAAACGCGAGAAGAAGUUGGUGUCGAGAGGGAGUCAGCGGCAGCUCACACACGGCAACGAAAGACAGCGCAUGCAAUUCUCUUUCCGAAAUGAAGCUGUGCCUGUAGCUCUGUCGGGAUGCAAGCUGGUAAUAUGCUUGGAGAGUUUCAAGAGAACUUGCGUGUGACGCGAAAUUGGCGAGACAAAUGGUUUUUUUUUUGGCCCCCGCUGUCACGAAGAAUUCAAUGUUAUCCGUUUGGGCAUCACGACAGUGACUUAGCUAGGCAAUGUUUGUUUGUUUGAUUGAGACAAGGUUUUAUUUUUAUUUUUCUCUGUUUUUGUAUGUGUGUGCUGAUUGCUGAAUGUACCCAAUCUCGCAUAGAAAAGAGGAUGCUUCAACCGAACCAGGGAAAAAAAAGAUCUGUGUGUCCUUCUCAAUGCCCUCACCACCACCAAAUCAACUCUGUGCAAUUGCAAAUGGCUCGAAUUUUUCUA
This is a long non-coding RNA of Setaria italica (foxtail millet), 900 nucleotides long. RefSeq lists it as uncharacterized. NCBI's taxonomy places the organism in Eukaryota, Viridiplantae, Streptophyta, Magnoliopsida, Poales, Poaceae. The record is from RefSeq and is a predicted model, not a curated record. The transcript has 2 exons.